Castor canadensis (American beaver) is the source of this 1194-nucleotide non-coding RNA. The record is from RefSeq and is a predicted model, not a curated record. Lineage: Eukaryota; Metazoa; Chordata; Mammalia; Rodentia; Castoridae.
UCUUGUAUUGCUAUUAAGGAGUCAGCAAAAUUAGGUAAUUAAGCUCAAAGGAGGGUGAUGAAAGGUGUUGAUGACCUAGACUUCUUCAUUGGUGAUGAAGCAAUAGAAAAACCUACAUAUGCGUCAAAGUGGCCAAUCUGCCAUGGUAUAGUUGAAGAUUGGGACUUGAUGGAAAGGUUUAUGGAGCAAGUGAUCUUUAAGGGCAGAACCUGUAAAGUGAUCUUUAAAUAUUUAAGGGCAAAACCUGAAGACCAUUAUUUUCUUUUGACUGAACCUCCACUGAAUACUCCAGAAAACAGGGACUCUACUGCUGAAAUAAUGUUUGAGUCUUUCAAUGUUCCCAGCUUGCAUAUUGCUGUGCACACUGUUCUUGGCUUAGCUGCAUCCUGGACCUCAAGACAAGUAGGGGAACGGUCGUUGACUGGUACAGUAAUAGACAGAGGAGAUGGUGUCACUCGUGUCAUUCCUGUGGCUGAAGGGUGUGUGAUUGGCAGCUGUAUUAAACACAUUCCAAUUGCAGGACGAGAUAUAACAUAUUUUAUUCAGCUACUGCUGAGAGACCGAGAAGUAGGAAUCCUUCCAGGACAAUCCCUGGAAACUGCUAAUGCAGUAAAGGCAUGCUAUAGUUACGUCUGCCCAGAUUUAGUAAAAGAAUUUAAAAAGUAUGACACUAAUGAGUCAAAGUGGAUCAAACAGUACACUGGAAUCAAUGCUAUCUCAAAGAAAGAAUUUUCCAUUGAUGUUCGUUAUGAGAGAUUCUUGGGACCUGAAAUCUUUUUUCAUCCAGAGUUUGCUAAUUCAGACUUUACACAACCCAUCUCAGAAGUUGUAGAUGAAGUAGUUCAGAACUAUCCUACUGAUGUCAGACGUCCUCUCUAUAAGAAUAUUGUCCUCUCUGGAGGUUCAACCAUGUUCAGGGACUUUGGACUUCUUUUGGAAAGAGAUUUGAAAACAACUGUCGAUGCCAGAAAAAAGUUAAGUGAGGAAUUGAGUGGCAGUAGAUUGAAGCCAAAACCUAUUGAUGUACAAGUUAUUACACACAGUAUGCAACGAUAUGCAGUUUGGCUUGGAGAAUCCAUGCUGUCUUCCAUACCUGAGUUCUACCAAGAAUGCCACACCAAAAAGGAUUAUGAAGAAAUUGGACCUACCAUUUGUCAUCACAACCCAGUGUUCAGAGUCAUGACAUAUAAUUGA